This is a long non-coding RNA of Pseudopipra pipra, 1642 nucleotides long. RefSeq lists it as uncharacterized. The transcript has 2 exons. Lineage: Eukaryota; Metazoa; Chordata; Aves; Passeriformes; Pipridae. The record is from RefSeq and is a predicted model, not a curated record.
CCGCCGGGCGGUCCCGCAGAGCGCCCACGUGGCCCCGAUGCGAACGGCCGCCCCCAGGGUCCUUCCCUGCCCUGGAAUUCUGGGAACCUUCCCCCCGAGCAUCCACAUUUCAUGCUGUUUUAUGACCUCUUCACCUAUGCAGCUUCAGCCAGCACUCAAAAGACAAAGAAUCCCACCACUCUCAACCCAGGAGCCUAGUGGGAGCAGCAAUAUUGCUUGAUUUCCAUACACCACUUUUUGAUAGCUAGUGAGCCUUUAGGAAAUGCAGAUUAACUUCAACAGAGCCAUGUUUCCUCUCCACACAGCUUGGUGACCACCCCAUCUCAAUACAACUGUCAAAUUAAUCUUGCAAAAAUUUGAAGAACCUGAGAACUGACUGACAUAACACUUGAAACUCUCAGGGGCAAGGGCAGGAUGACACGUGCCUCCUCCAAGCAGCAGCAUUCCUGUGCUGAGGACAAAGCUACUCCACCUUGAGCUUUGUUUUUAUGUUCAUGGCUGCCAGCUCCGCCACAAAGUAACGGAAGACAUGGGGCACAGGGACAACCUCAAUCGUGUCCACCUCGCUGCAGACUGAGCAGGAGUACCUCCUGCUGCUUGCCACAGAGGAGUGGGGCAGUUUCUCCAGCACAGGAGAUGUCAUGCUGCCACAGCUUGUGCACACGUAGGCAAUGGAGCCAUCGGAGCAGUUGAACAGGCGGUCUUGCAGCAGGAAAGAUGUGCCAUGAGCCAGCAGAGCAUCCCGCUCCAUCUCACCAAAGCGAAUCCCACCUUCCACGUUCCUCCCUUUGACAGGCUGGUUGGUGACAGCAUCUCGGGGCCCCGUUGUUCUCACCUGGAACUUGUCCGAGACCAUGUGGCGCAGGCGCUGAUAGUACACCACUCCCACAAAGAUCUCUGCCUCCAGCUCCAGGCCGCUGAUGCCGCUGUACAUCUUUUCUGUCCCAAAGAAGUUAUAACCUGCGCUCACUAAAGUCUCACCGAAGUAUUUCAAAGCAGACUUCUUCUCUGUGAAGGUGAAGGGAGUGGCAUCAUAGGAGACACCAUGCAGUGCUGCUGACUUCCCCGCCAUGCUCUCAAUCAACAUUCCAAUGGUCAUACGGGAGGGAAAGCCAUGAGGGUUGAAGAGGAUGUCUGGAACCAUCCCAUUCUCUGUGAACGGCAUAUCCUCAACUGGCCAGAGCUGGCUCAGGAUACCUUUCUGUCCGUGACGGCUGGCAAAUUUGUCUCCAAUAGUUGGAUUUCGGGGAACCCUCACAGUGAUGCAAGCCUUCUUGAAUUUCCCAGUGCCACGGUCAUUACUGCAUAACCUGACAUUGUCUACAAUGCCAACUUCCUUAUUCCUGUUUAGGCAGAAAAACAAUCACAGCAAAGGUGUCAGGCACGUCAAUGAUUUUUAGCUAGGAAAGGAAAAUUAAGCAAAAAACCUUAACCACUUCAUAGUUCUUAUAAAAUGCCUUGGGACAGCUGGGAAACACGACCAUUUUUCAAAGUACUAUGCAGUGGCAAAGGUAAUCAGACUGCGUAAGAAUUAGGGCAAGAAAGCAAUAUAAGGGCAUCUCACAAAUGCCAUUCAGCUACCACUUCCAGGUCAGCAGGUCACAUGCCACCCAUGAUUUGAAAUAAAGAUCAUUUAAACCUG